GACGAACGCUGGCGGUGUGCUUAACACAUGCAAGUCGAACGGGAUCCAUGUUGUAGCAAUACUUCGGAAGAUCUAGUGGCGAACGGGUGAGGAACACGUGAGAAACCUGCCCCGAACUUCGGGAUAACAGUUGGAAACGAUUGCUAAUACCGAAUACCUCUGCGAAGUGGCAUCACUUUGCAAAGAAAGAAUUUCGGUUCGGGAGGGUCUCGCGGCCUAUCAGCUAGUUGGUGGGGUAACGGCCUACCAAGGCAUCGACGGGUAGCUGGUCCGAGAGGAUGAUCAGCCACACUGGGACUGAGACACGGCCCAGACUCCUACGGGAGGCAGCAGUGGGGAAUCUUGUGCAAUGGGCGAAAGCCUGACACAGCAACGCCGCGUGCGGGAAGAAGGCCUUCGGGUCGUAAACCGCUUUCAGCAGGAACGAAAAUGACGGUACCUGCAGAAGAAGGUGCGGCCAACUACGUGCCAGCAGCAGCCGCGG
This 484-nucleotide ribosomal RNA is filed under the name uncultured bacterium. Its description in RNAcentral is "partial 16S ribosomal RNA". It matches the Rfam family "Bacterial small subunit ribosomal RNA", at positions 28 to 523 of the family's 1533-position model. The record is from RNAcentral.